Molecule: ribosomal RNA, 497 nt
Filed under: uncultured bacterium
Lineage: Bacteria
Description: partial 16S ribosomal RNA
Rfam family: Bacterial small subunit ribosomal RNA
Source: RNAcentral
GAUGAACGCUGGCGGCGUGCCUAAUACAUGCGAGUCGAGCGAACGGACGAGAAGCUUGCUUCUCUGAUGUUAGCGGCGGACGGGUGAGUAACACGUGGAUAACCUACCUAUAAGACUGGGAUAACUUCGGGAAACCGGAGCUAAUACCGGAUAAUAUUUUGAACCGCAUGGUUCAAAAGUGAAAGACGGUCUUGCUGUCACUUAUAGAUGGAUCCGCGCUGCAUUAGCUAGUUGGUAAGUUACCGGCUUACCAAGGCAACGAGGCAUAGCCGACCGGAGAGGGUGAUCGGCCACACUGGAACUGAGCCACGGUCCAGACUCCUACGGGAGGCAGCAGUAGGGAAUCUUCCGCAAUGGGCGAAAGCCUGACGGAGCAACGCCGCGUGAGUGAUGAAGGUCUUCGGAUCGUAAAACUCUGUUAUUAGGGAAGAACAUAUGUGUAAGUAACUGUGCACAUCUUGACGGUACCUAAUCAGAAAGCCACGGCUAACUACGUG